ACGAACUUCAGUUUUAUAAAUUCUUUCGUGAAGAAAACAUAAAAUCAAGAAAAAAACUUUAAAAUAUUUCCUAAAGACCGCAUAAAAAUAUAAUUUUAAGAAAAUAUACUUAUAUCUAUAUAGCUAAGUUUGCUUUUGCAGCUUUUAAAACUCUACUAAGAUGUGUUGCGGUUGCGGAUGCCCCAAGAUCACCAUCUACACAUGCUGCACCAAGAUCUGCUGAGCAUGUCUCCCGGCAUUCGACGCCGCGCCCCCCGCGGCCGGCUCGCGCCCACGUGGCGCCAGCGUCAACUCGACGACGUCGACCCGGACCAAGAAGCCUGAAGCCAGGGCCCGUGCUUUUGUGAAUGCAGUUAUAGUGCCGUUAAUAAAGUGGAUUGAGUAGA
This is a long non-coding RNA of Ostrinia nubilalis (European corn borer), 386 nucleotides long. RefSeq lists it as uncharacterized. The transcript is spliced from 2 exons. The record is from RefSeq and is a predicted model, not a curated record. NCBI's taxonomy places the organism in Eukaryota, Metazoa, Arthropoda, Insecta, Lepidoptera, Crambidae.